Molecule: ribosomal RNA, 563 nt
Filed under: Malassezia furfur
Lineage: Eukaryota; Fungi; Basidiomycota; Malasseziomycetes; Malasseziales; Malasseziaceae
Description: eukaryotic LSU rRNA
Rfam family: Eukaryotic large subunit ribosomal RNA
Source: RNAcentral
AACUAACAAGGAUUCCCCUAGUAACGGCGAGUGAAGAGGGAAGAGCUCAAAUUUGAAAGCUGGUACCUUCGGUAUCCGCGUUGUAACCUCGAGACACGUUUUCCGUGCGGCGCUAUGGACAAGUUCCUUGGAACAGGACAUCGUAGAGGGUGAAAAUCCCGUACUUGCCAUGGAUGUACCGUGCUUUGCGAUACGUGCUCUAAGAGUCGAGUUGUUUGGGAUUGCAGCUCAAAAUGGGUGGUAGACUCCAUCUAAAGCUAAAUAUCGGGGAGAGACCGAUAGCGAACAAGUACCGUGAGGGAAAGAUGAAAAGCACUUUGGAAAGAGAGUUAAAAGUACGUGAAAUUGUCGAAAGGGAAGCGCUUGAAGUCAGCCAUGCCGCUCAGGACUCAGCCUGGCUUUUGCUUGGUGUAUUUCCUGGGUAGCAAGUCAGCAUUGGUUUGGAUCGUCGGAGAAGCAUAGUCGGAAUGUGGCGCCCUCGGGCGUGUUAUAGCCUUCUAUUGGAUACGACGAUCUAGACCAAGGAACGCAGCGCGCCUUAUGGCGGGUCUUCGGACACCUCG